AAAAAAAAAACCUUUCUACAAGACUCAUGCAACACAUAGAGAAAGAAAGUACUGCAAAAUCCGGCAGCACCUCCCUUGAAAGUAGCAUAACAAGGGAAGCAUAUAGUUUAUACAGGAUAUAAAAGAAAGAUAAUUGCCAUAGUAUAAUCAAAAUGCAACGGUAGAAAAAAACAUUCAUGACCAGACAAAAGAUAGACAUCUCAGCCCACCAAACUAAACAGUUCAACUACCAUGAAAGAUUAGAAUGUAAUAAUUCCCUAGACUUGACCCUUCCUGUUUAACAUCAUUAAUAAACAGUUAUUCCUUUAUUUAAAAGUGUGGUGGCCGUGCUGCUACAUCCCUUCUUCCCCAAAGCAAAGAUCAGGUGCCUGCAUCAGACAAUGCAAGAGUGAGAUGACACAUCUCAGCAAGUAAAAAAAACAAACAACAGUUGGACAAUGCAAGCCAACCGUGCAUAAGCAACCACAUGGUUCCCCACUUCUUCCUUAAAUAUUAAUUUGCAGCAAGUAAGCAAGUAAUCAAUUACUCAAUGCCAAGAUGAAUUACAAAGUAAAGAUCCACCUUAUCCACAUCACCAAAAUAGGUUCCACACUUCACCCAUGAAUGCACAUGGCUACAGAUGCAACAUGACUUCUGCCUUCAUACCUCUAAGGAUAUGAAGCUGCAUCAUACCCCUUCUCGGGAAACAUAUGAUGCUCAUUUGUACCGGUACGGUCGGACCAUAAGAUCGCGACGAAAACUUCAAUGCAAUGGAUGAUGAAUGCAUUAUGCAUGUCAACAACAUGAGUUCUUCCCAAAUAAAAUGUGCUAGACAUAUACUUCCACCCAUUUCACAUCAAUAACCACAUGGGUAACAUGAUCAAACCACACCCUCCACAUGUAUAAUCAAUAAAGCAUAAAUAAUUUCAAACGAUGGUACCCAAUUAGGAAAAUGGAUAUGAACACAAAUAGCACAAACAUAAUCAAGUAUGAGCCUCUUCAAUCAAAAGACGAAAUAACCAUCACUGUUUUACUUGCCUUUACCGAAGUUAGGGCAAAAUCCCUAAGAACGAUCCGGAAGUCCACCACCUGUUUUUGACACCCAACUUAGUGCACCAAAUUCUCAUGAAAAAAAACUCAAAGACAACACCGCACCUACGCGCAAUCUCAAACCCCGCCACGGUAACAAUUCUCCCCUCACUAACCAAACUGCAGCGGCGCUGCUUAACAAGUCCAUAACUUAAAAUUUAGGACAGCAGUGAUAAUAAACAAAAACUUCAGAGACAACUACAUAAAAUUCCCCACAAGUUUUAUAUACAACUCAUGAUUGAAUUCUAACAUCUACUUACCUCUAAACGGUCCUCAAAAUAAACCCUGCAAUCUGUUUUUUUCUGAUUUGAGCAGCGACAUACGCGGAUUCAAACAGCGAUAACUUUUAAAAUAUAAUUCCGAUUUGAGCGCAUAAGUACUUGUUGGAAAGAUAAGAAAAAGCCCUACAUGAUUCUCAUACUGAUUAACACUAAUUACUCCCGAAACAUCCCCAGAAACUGCUAACACUGCUGCUGUUCAUCACUCUGAAAAAUCUGUUUUCUGGACAGCCACAUACCCGGAUUCAAACGAUGAUAACUUUUAAUUUAUAACUCCAAAUUGAGCGCAUAAAUACUCGUUGGAAAGAUAAAACAAAGUUCUACAAGAUUCUAAUACUGAUUAACACUAAUUGCUCCCGAAAAAUUCCCAGAAACUGCUAACACUGCUGCUGUUCAUCACUCUGAAAAAUCUGUUUUCUGGACAGCCACAUACCCGGAUUCAAACGAUGAUAACUUUUAAUUUAUAACUCCAAAUUGAGCGCAUAAAUACUCGUUGGAAAGAUAAAACAAAGUUCUACAAGAUUCCCAAAUUGAUCCCCAUUAAAUCUUCACGAAAAAAAACUAAAAACUGCUGGAACUACCGCUGUUCAUCCACCACGCAAAAUUCUGGACAGCCCCCCCCCUCUAUCUAAUCGCAAACGCAACAUCUAAACCAUUGAAUCGCAGCGCAAAUGAACAAGGGAUGAACACAAAAGAAAAAUCACCUUGGGUUCUCCCCUUUUCCUUCCUCCCUUCUUCCUUCCACCAAAAUGAUUGGAGAUUCGCACCAAAAGACGAUGAUCCGAGCGGCACGGAGUAGCACCUAGGGAGGAGGGGAUUGGGGGGGGGGGCGGCUAGGGUUUUGGUGGCUGCAACAAUGGAGGGAGGAGGAGGUGGACAGGGGGGGGCGGCGGCCAAGGGGAAAUGAGGAGUGGGGGGGGGGGGCGGCAGCCUUGAGGGGGAGUAGAUAGGAGGGUGGCGGCUAGGGUUUGGGAGGCCUAAUGGGCCGAAACACCAAUUGCGGCCCAACUAACCCACGCGACAGCUCCCGACCGCAACGCAAAUGUCAAACCAAAAAAAAUCUACUGCCCUAGUUGCGAAUGUUAUUCACAAAAUUCCAAAUCCCCAAAACAACAACUGGAUGAGGAAAAAAAAACAAAAAAAACAACCCCCAACUUCUCUUCUUUGCAAACCGGGUAUCACAUUCUACCCCUCUUAAAAAGAAUUCGUCCUCGAAUUCUGACGCUUCUAUCGGAAUGACACAAGAAAAGCUUAGCAAAUCAACAACACUUACCCACAACGAAAAGUUCCGGGUACUUCUGCCGCAUCAACUCCUCAAGUUCCCACGUAGCCUCGCGCUCUGACUGAUUAGACCAUAAGACCUUGACAUACUUAAUUGAUCUCUUCCUCAACACACGCUCCGAGAAUUCCAAAAUACGCACCGGACGACACUCCAGAGUCAGAUCCUGCUGCACCGCAAUUGGUUCCAUCUCAAUCUGAUGGUCUGGAUCCCGCAAGAACUUCCUCAACAUAGAGACAUGAAAAACCGGGUGUACCCCUGCCAUGGAAUCCGGCAGCAGCAAGCGAUAAGCCAGGCUGCCCACUCGGGCCAAGAUAGUGAACGGUCCAAUGUAUCUUGGGCUGAGCUUCCCAGAGACACCGAACCGAACAACUCCCUUAGUGGGUGAUACCCUGAGAAGGACUUGGUCACCCACAGCAAAUUCCAGAUCCCGCCUCCUCACAUCAGCAUAACUCUUCUGACGACUCUGAGCUGCCAAAAUAUUCUGACGAAUUUCCCGAACCUUUUCAGAAGUUUGCUGAACCCAAUCAGGACCAACCAGGGAUCUCUCUCCCAAAGUCUCCCAGCACAGAGGAGAGAUACACCGCCUGCAUACAAAGCCUCAAAUGGUGCCAUCUUGAUGCUAGCUUGGUAGCUGUUGUUAUACGCAAACUCUGCUAGAGCAAGAUGAUCCUCCCAGCUACCCUUCCAUGACAGAACACAAGCACGCAACAUAUCCUCCAAGGUUUGGAUUGUUCGCUCUGACUGACCAUCCGUCUGAGGAUGAAAAGCGACACUAAGCGAAAGCUUGGUGCCCAAUGCACUGUGGAGACUCUCCCAGAAUUUGGAUACAAAUUUGGAGUCUCGAUCAGAAACAAUAGACUUAGGUAUCCCGUGAAGCCUGACUACUUCCUUCAUAUACAAGGGAACCAAAUCUGAAGCUGAAUUCGUGGUCUUCAUGGGAAUAAAAUGCGCAGACUUAGUCAAGCGAUCCACUACCACCCAAAUAGCAUCCCUGCCACGAGGGGAACGAGGUAGACCCACCACAAAAUCCAUGGUGAUAUGCUCCCAUUUCCACUCUGGAAUUUCCAAUGGCUUCAGCAAACCUGCAGGCCGCUUAUGUUCGGCCUUCACGCGCUGACAUACUUCACAGGCGGCCACAAACUUAGAAAUGUCAACCUUCAUCCGCUUCCACCAGAAGUUUUGCUUCAAAUCUCGGUACAUUUUGGUUUCGCCAGGAUGGACGGUGUAAGGCGUUUUAUGAGCUUCUCGCAGGAUAUCCAGCUUCACCUCUGAUUUCUGAGGCACACAAAGACGGCCCCUGAAACGAACCAAAUCAUUCUCAUCAAUGGUGAACUCCCGCGGUUUACCAUCACCAACCCUCCUUCGGGCUUCCUGCAAAAGACGAUCCUGCUGCUGAGCCGCACGCACUCUCUCCAUAAGUGAGGAUUGAAUAAGCAUCUGAGUCUCCUCGCUAGCGGUGCCGACAUAACACAAAGCGAUCCCCAAACGGUCCAGAUCAGCGAUCAACGGCAAGGCCACCUUUGGAACCCCGGACCUGCUAAGGGCAUCCGCCACCACAUUAGCCUUCCCCGGGUGAUAAUGAAUGGACAAAUCAUAAUCUUUAAUCAAUUCUAGCCACCGACGCUGCCUCAAAUUCAGCUCCUUCUGAGUAAAAAUAUACUUGAGACUUUUGUGAUCAGUGAAAAUGUCACAAGCCUCGCCAUAAAGGUAAUGCCUCCACGACUUUAGAGCAAAAACCACCGCAGCCAAUUCCAAAUCAUGAGUUGGAUAAUUCCCCUCAUGCUUCCUCAACUGCCUUGAGCCAUAAGCAAUCACCCUGCCUUCCUGCAUCAGCACACAGCCAAGACCAAUACGCGAAGCAUCCGUAUAAACUGUGAAACGCUUACCGCUCUCAGGCAAAGCUAGGAUAGGGGCGUCCACCAACUUGCUCUUCAAUGACUGAUAACUGAUCUCACAAUCGCCGGACCAGACGAAGGGAACACCCUUCCCCAAGAGCCUAGUCAAAGGCUUAGCAAUGCUGGAAAAAUUUGGUACGAAACGCCGAUAAUACCCAGCAAGCCCCAAGAAACUUCGGAUUUCAGAGACACUAGAAGGUCUCUUCCACUCCACUACAGCCGCAACAUUCUUGGGGUCAACCGCAAUACCCUGCUGAUUAAUCACGUGCCCCAGGAAAGCCACCUCAGAUAGCCAAAAGGCACACUUCUUCAACUUGCCAUAGAAUUGAUUCUUCCUUAGGGCACCCAGAACGAGACGGAGAUGCUGAUCAUGCUCGGCCUCGGUCUUUGAAUAAAUCAAAAUAUCAUCUAGGAAUACGACCACAAAAUCGUCCAAGAAUUCAUGCAGCAUCCUAUUCAUUGCUUCCAUAAACGCAGCAGGGGCAUUAGUUAAGCCAAAGGACAUGACUAUGAACUCAUAAUGCCCAUACCUGGUGCAGAAGGCAGUCUUCUCAAUAUCCUCCUCACGAAUCCUCAAUUGAUGAUAACCAGAGUUCAAAUCAAUUUUGGAGAACACCUGGGCACCCCUCAACUGCUCAAAGAGGACCUCAAUUCGGGGAAGCGGAUAUUUAUUCUUGAUUGUCACUUGAUUCAAAGCGCGAUAAUCCACACACAGCCGCUUGCUUUUAUCCUUCUUCUCAACAAACAAUACUGGGGAAGCCCAUGGAGACCUGCUAGGCCUAAUGAAGCCCUUAGCCAGCAGAUCAUCCAAUUGCCGCUUUAAUUCAAUCUGCUCCUUUGGAGCCAUUCGAUACGGGGCCUUAUGAAUAGGCUGCGUACCCGGGAUCAGCUUAAUCUCAAAAGCUGCAUCGCGCUCCGGAGGAAUGCCUGGAAGCUCUGCUGGAAACACGUCAGCAAAGUCACACACCACCCGGAUGUCCUACACCAGCAAGGCAGCCUCGCCCUCCACCACCAUAGAGAAAAAGAUCCCCGACUUCCUUGACCAGCGAUCAGGAAGCAAUUGCGCCAACAAGGAUAAUGUGAACUUCAGAGAACUUCCCAAGAAUACCACCUCCUUACCCGACGGCGCCUGCAAUAACACUGUCUUCCAGAAGCAGGAUAUAACCGCGCGAUACUGGGAUAACCAAUCCAUACCCAAGAUAACAUCGAAUGCCCCCAAGGAAAUCACCACCAGAUUAGCCGAAAAAACCUCAUCUGCAAGAAUGACGGAACACCCCUGACAAACUGAACAGCUACUAAUGGAGCCAUUAGCAGAACUGACCAAAAUUGGGUGACCCAACCUCUGCACCGAAAGACCAGCCCGCGACACAAAAUCCUCCGAAACAAACGAAUAGCUAGCGCCAGAGUCAAAAAGAGCAUGGGCUGCAAAUGAAUCAACUGAAAUCGUACCUGUCACCAUGUCUCCUUGCUCCCUGCCAUCCGUAGCGGGUAGCACAUAAGCUCCAGAAAUACCCGCAGAAGAGGAAGCUCCCGGAGUGACAUUAACAGAAGAACCCCACUGAGCCACCGGAGGAGGCUGGCGCGGAGCUCCAAACUGAGACAGCACAUGGGUAGACGGCGCAGGAGUAGGCACAACCUGAUACUGCGGAAAACCUUGCAUCGGCACGAACUGAGAAGUCCCGGGCACAUAAAGCUGCUGUGGAGGAAGAGGAACUGAAAACUGCUGCUCAGCACUUGACAUCAUAUUGAUAGUGCCCUGAGAAGAGGAGGAAGCUAUCGGCUCCCAUCUGAGCUUCCCAUUGGGAUUCCUCCUACACACCACAUCCUUGUGGUCCUGACUGCAGAUAGAACACCUGCCACUCCACUGACACUCUGCACGGCGAUGCGCAUCUCCACACCGGAAACACACCAGCCCCAACCCGGGCUUAGGAACGGCCCGAAACCUCUGAGUACUUCCUCCUGAAGUACCUGAGUCAGAAGAUUUGCCACGGUAAGGAUGGUGGCGCUGAUGCUGAGACUUGCCCCUCUUGUGAGCUGGACCUCCAGUGUUGCCCCUCCUCGUGUCCUGGCUGCGAGGUUGAUCAGCACCCGAAGACUUCUGCGACUCCAUGGUGUACUGGUGUUGCAUCUCCACACCCAGCGCCUGCUCCACUGUGGUACGGAAGUCCACCAACGGAAAGGCCCCCAGAGCAUGCCUGAUAGAAGGCUUCAGACCCUGACGGAAUUGGCUCGCCUUCUCCAUCUCAUUAUAAGCCACAUGAGGGACAAAGCGGACCAUUUUGUUGAAGCCCACCUCAUACUCUGUGACAGACUUCUUCUCCUGCUUGAAGGACUGCAAGUCAAUCUUCAUUUUCUCCAGAAAGGUGACCGGGUAGAAUCUCCUUUCGAACUGCCUGAUGAAAACAUCCCAUGAUAGGACUCCUGGUGAGGAGGAGUGCGCUGCCUGCACGCCUCUCCACCAAAUCUGCGCCUCACCCUUCAGCAGCUGAGUGCCAAAGCGAACCCGAUCUUCAUAAGCAAUCUCGAAGACAUUCAUCUUAUCUUCCACAUAAGUCAGCCAAUCUGCCGCCUCGACCGGAGUACCACUGCCAUCAAAAGAAUCCAACUUCAUGCCCAUCCACUGCAUCAGAGAAAGACCACUGACAGGAAGAGGCACCCCGGCCCCGCCACCAGGAACAGCACCCGCAGGGACAGCGCCCCCGGGCACUUCUCCACCUCCAGCUCCCUGAGCAGCACCUGCAGGGGCGACAGGAAUGGCUUGCCUCAGAAGGGCCAACUCCUGCUGCAUGGCCUGCAUCGCGGCUAACAUUGCCGCCGGACUCAUCGAGUCCCCACUAGGAGCUUGCGGACUACCCCGAGCUCUACGAGGCGGCAUAGAUGUAUCCACAGGGAUGAGAAUAAUAAGUAUAUGAGAUAAGCAUAGCAUCUCUCUAGAUAAUGUCAAAACUAGCACAGAGAAUAACAUAAUCAUAUCAAUAGCAAGACCGAAAACCCAUCCUACAUGUGCAGUGUGGCAAUUUAUUACUACUCCACUUGCUAGGACCUACAGCCUAUCCUCUGAUACCAACUGUAACACCCCACUGAUCCCACACAAUGGAUGAUACCAAAAAAAAACCUUUCUACAAGACUCAUGCAACACAUAGAGAAAGAAAGUACUGCAAAAUCCGGCAGCACCUCCCUUGAAAGUAGCAUAACAAGGGAAGCAUAUAGUUUAUACAGGAUAUAAAAGAAAGAUAAUUGCCAUAGUAUAAUCAAAAUGCAACGGUAGAAAAAAACAUUCAUGACCAGACAAAAGAUAGACAUCUCAGCCCACCAAACUAAACAGUUCAACUACCAUGAAAGAUUAGAAUGUAAUAAUUCCCUAGACUUGACCCUUCCUGUUUAACAUCAUUAAUAAACAGUUAUUCCUUUAUUUAAAAGUGUGGUGGCCGUGCUGCUACAUCCCUUCUUCCCCAAAGCAAAGAUCAGGUGCCUGCAUCAGACAAUGCAAGAGUGAGAUGACACAUCUCAGCAAGUAAAAAAAAACAAACAACAGUUGGACAAUGCAAGCCAACCGUGCAUAAGCAACCACAUGGUUCCCCACUUCUUCCUUAAAUAUUAAUUUGCAGCAAGUAAGCAAGUAAUCAAUUACUCAAUGCCAAGAUGAAUUACAAAGUAAAGAUCCACCUUAUCCACAUCACCAAAAUAGGUUCCACACUUCACCCAUGAAUGCACAUGGCUACAGAUGCAACAUGACUUCUGCCUUCAUACCUCUAAGGAUAUGAAGCUGCAUCAUACCCCUUCUCGGGAAACAUAUGAUGCUCAUUUGUACCGGUACGGUCGGACCAUAAGAUCGCGACGAAAACUUCAAUGCAAUGGAUGAUGAAUGCAUUAUGCAUGUCAACAACAUGAGUUCUUCCCAAAUAAAAUGUGCUAGACAUAUACUUCCACCCAUUUCACAUCAAUAACCACAUGGGUAACAUGAUCAAACCACACCCUCCACAUGUAUAAUCAAUAAAGCAUAAAUAAUUUCAAACGAUGGUACCCAAUUAGGAAAAUGGAUACGAACACAAAUAGCACAAACAUAAUCAAGUAUGAGCCUCUUCAAUCAAAAGACGAAAUAACCAUCACUGUUUUACUUGCCUUUACCGAAGUUAGGGCAAAAUCCCUAAGAACGAUCCGGAAGUCCACCACCUGUUUUUGACACCCAACUUAGUGCACCAAAUUCUCAUGAAAAAAAACUCAAAGACAACACCGCACCUACGCGCAAUCUCAAACCCCGCCACGGUAACAAUUCUCCCCUCACUAACCAAACUGCAGCGGCGCUGCUUAACAAGUCCAUAACUUAAAAUUUAGGACAGCAGUGAUAAUAAACAAAAACUUCAGAGACAACUACAUAAAAUUCCCCACAAGUUUUAUAUACAACUCAUGAUUGAAUUCUAACAUCUACUUACCUCUAAACGGUCCUCAAAAUAAACCCUGCAAUCUGUUUUUUUCUGAUUUGAGCAGCGACAUACGCGGAUUCAAACAGCGAUAACUUUUAAAAUAUAAUUCCGAUUUGAGCGCAUAAGUACUUGUUGGAAAGAUAAGAAAAAGCCCUACAUGAUUCUCAUACUGAUUAACACUAAUUACUCCCGAAACAUCCCCAGAAACUGCUAACACUGCUGCUGUUCAUCACUCUGAAAAAUCUGUUUUCUGGACAGCCACAUACCCGGAUUCAAACGAUGAUAACUUUUAAUUUAUAACUCCAAAUUGAGCGCAUAAAUACUCGUUGGAAAGAUAAAACAAAGUUCUACAAGAUUCUAAUACUGAUUAACACUAAUUGCUCCCGAAAAAUUCCCAGAAACUGCUAACACUGCUGCUGUUCAUCACUCUGAAAAAUCUGUUUUCUGGACAGCCACGUACCCGGAUUCAAACGAUGAUAACUUUUAAUUUAUAACUCCAAAUUAAGCGCAUAAAUACUCGUUGGAAAGAUAAAACAAAGUUCUACAAGAUUCCCAAAUUGGUCCCCAUUAAAUCUUCACGAAAAAAAACUAAAAACUGCUGGAACUACCGCUGUUCAUCCACCACGCAAAAUUCUGGACAGCCCCCCCCCCCUCUAUCUAAUCGCAAACGCAACAUCUAAACCAUUGAAUCGCAGCGCAAAUGAACAAGGGAUGAACACAAAAGAAAAAUCACCUUGGGUUCUCCCCUUUUCCUUCCUCCCUUCUUCCUUCCACCAAAAUGAUUGGAGAUUCGCACCAAAAGACGAUGAUCCGAGCGGCACGGAGUAGCACCUAGGGAGGAGGGGAUUGGGGGGGGGGGCGGCUAGGGUUUUGGUGGCUGCAACAAUGGAGGGAGGAGGAGGUGGACAGGGGGGGCGGCGGCCAAGGGGAAAUGAGGAGUGGGGGGGGGGGGGGGCGGCAGCCUUGAGGGGGAGUAGAUAGGAGGGUGGCGGCUAGGGUUUGGGAGGCCUAAUGGGCUGAAACACCAAUUGCGGCCCAACUAACCCACGCGACAGCUCCCGACCGCAACGCAAAUGUCAAACCAAAAAAAAAUCUACUGCCCUAGUUGCGAAUGUUAUUCACAAAAUUCCAAAUCCCCAAAACAACAACUGGA
Molecule: long non-coding RNA, 10100 nt
Filed under: Zea mays
Lineage: Eukaryota; Viridiplantae; Streptophyta; Magnoliopsida; Poales; Poaceae
Description: long non-coding RNA (ZMAY_LNC001474)
Source: RNAcentral